UGGGGAAUAUUGCACAAUGGGCGCAAGCCUGAUGCAGCCAUGCCGCGUGUGUGAAGAAGGCCUUCGGGUUGUAAAGCACUUUCAGCGGGGAGGAAGGCGUUAAGGUUAAUAACCUUGGCGAUUGACGUUACCCGCAGAAGAAGCACCGGCUAACUCCGUGCCAGCAGCCGCGGUAAUACGGAGGGUGCAAGCGUUAAUCGGAAUUACUGGGCGUAAAGCGCACGCAGGCGGUCUGUCAAGUCGGAUGUGAAAUCCCCGGGCUCAACCUGGGAACUGCAUUCGAAACUGGCAGGCUAGAGUCUCGUAGAGGGGGGUAGAAUUCCAGGUGUAGCGGUGAAAUGCGUAGAGAUCUGGAGGAAUACCGGUGGCGAAGGCGGCCCCCUGGACGAAGACUGACGCUCAGGUGCGAAAGCGUGGGGAGCAAACAGG
Molecule: ribosomal RNA, 429 nt
Filed under: Chloroflexota bacterium
Lineage: Bacteria; Bacillati; Chloroflexota
Description: Chloroflexi bacterium partial 16S ribosomal RNA
Rfam family: Bacterial small subunit ribosomal RNA
Source: RNAcentral